GACGAACGCUGGCGGCGUGCUUAACACAUGCAAGUCGAGCGGUAAGGCCCUUUCGGGGGUACACGAGCGGCGAACGGGUGAGUAACACGUGGGUGACCUGCCCUCAGCUCUGGGAUAAGCCUGGGAAACCGGGUCUAAUACUGGAUAUGACUCCAUGACGCAUGUUGUGGGGUGGAAAGCCUUGUGCGGCUGAGGAUGGGCCCGCGGCCUAUCAGCUUGUUGGUGGGGUGAUGGCCUACCAAGGCGACGACGGGUAGCCGGCCUGAGAGGGCGACCGGCCACACUGGGACUGAGACACGGCCCAGACUCCUACGGGAGGCAGCAGUGGGGAAUCUUGCGCAAGUGGGCGAAAGCCUGACGCAGCGACGCCGCGUGGAGGAUGACGG
RNAcentral lists this ribosomal RNA (386 nucleotides) under uncultured bacterium. RNAcentral's name for it is "bacterial SSU rRNA". It matches the Rfam family "Bacterial small subunit ribosomal RNA", at positions 28 to 414 of the family's 1533-position model. The record is from RNAcentral.